RNAcentral lists this ribosomal RNA (253 nucleotides) under uncultured bacterium. RNAcentral describes it as "partial 16S ribosomal RNA". It matches the Rfam family "Bacterial small subunit ribosomal RNA", at positions 524 to 776 of the family's 1533-position model. The record is from RNAcentral.
UACGUAGGGUGCGAGCGUUAAUCGGAAUUACUGGGCGUAAAGCGUGCGCAGGCGGUUUUGUAAGCCAGAUGUGAAAUCCACGGGCUUAACCUGGGAAUGGCAUUUGGGACUGCAAGGCUCGAGUGCGGCAGAGGAGACUGGAAUUCCUGGUGUAGCAGUGAAAUGCGUAGAUAUCAGGAGGAACACCGAUGGCGAAGGCAGGUCUCUGGGCUGACACUGACGCUCAUGCACGAAAGCGUGGGGAGCAAACAGG